GGGUUGCGUAGUUGCUGGUAGCAACGGGCCGCCGGAAAGCGGUUGCUGUUCUCGUUCGAUUCGAGAUUUAACCUGGGGGAAAUAACAAGAGGGUUCGAUUCCUUCCGCAACUCACCA
RNAcentral lists this transfer RNA (117 nucleotides) under Acidobacteriota bacterium. Its description in RNAcentral is "Acidobacteria bacterium (activated sludge metagenome) tRNA-OTHER". RNAcentral also lists the same sequence under 1 other name. Lineage: Bacteria; Pseudomonadati; Acidobacteriota. The record is from RNAcentral.